RNAcentral lists this ribosomal RNA (691 nucleotides) under Caulobacter sp. B28_1. RNAcentral's name for it is "bacterial SSU rRNA". It matches the Rfam family "Bacterial small subunit ribosomal RNA", at positions 120 to 846 of the family's 1533-position model. The record is from RNAcentral. Lineage: Bacteria; Pseudomonadati; Pseudomonadota; Alphaproteobacteria; Caulobacterales; Caulobacteraceae.
GGGAACGUGCCUUUUGGUUCGGAACAACUCAGGGAAACAUGAGCUAAUACCGGAUAAGCCUUUCGAGGGAAAGAUUUAUCGCCAUUAGAGCGGCCCGCGUAGGAUUAGCUAGUUGGUGGGGUAAAGGCCCACCAAGGCUACGAUCCUUAGCUGGUCUGAGAGGAUGAUCAGCCACAUUGGGACUGAGACACGGCCCAAACUCCUACGGGAGGCAGCAGUGGGGAAUCUUGCGCAAUGGGCGAAAGCCUGACGCAGCCAUGCCGCGUGAAUGAUGAAGGUCUUAGGAUUGUAAAAUUCUUUCACCGGGGACGAUAAUGACGGUACCCGGAGAAGAAGCCCCGGCUAACUUCGUGCCAGCAGCCGCGGUAAUACGAAGGGGGCUAGCGUUGCUCGGAAUUACUGGGCGUAAAGGGAGCGUAGGCGGAUAGUUUAGUCAGAGGUGAAAGCCCAGGGCUCAACCUUGGAAUUGCCUUUGAUACUGGCUAUCUUGAGUACGGAAGAGGUAUGUGGAACUCCGAGUGUAGAGGUGAAAUUCGUAGAUAUUCGGAAGAACACCAGUGGCGAAGGCGACAUACUGGUCCGUUACUGACGCUGAGGCUCGAAAGCGUGGGGAGCAAACAGGAUUAGAUACCCUGGUAGUCCACGCUGUAAACGAUGAGUGCUAGUUGUCGGCAUGCAUGCAUGUCGGUGA